Molecule: ribosomal RNA, 426 nt
Filed under: uncultured bacterium
Lineage: Bacteria
Description: bacterial SSU rRNA
Rfam family: Bacterial small subunit ribosomal RNA
Source: RNAcentral
GGAAUCUUGCGCAAUGGGGGAAACCCUGACGCAGCAACGCCGCGGGAGUGAGGAAGGCCUUCGGGUCGUAAAGCUCUGUCAGAUGGGAAGAAAUGGGUGGGGGCUAAUAUCCUCCAUCCUUGACGGUACCAUCAGAGGAAGCACUGGCUAACUCCGUGCCAGCAGCCGCGGUAAUACGGGGGGUGCAAGCGUUGUUCGGAAUCAUUGGGCGUAAAGCGCGCGCAGGCGGCUUGGUAAGUCAGAUGUGAAAUCCCUGGGCUUAACACAGGAAGUGCAUUUGAUACUGUCUCGCUAGAGUACGGGAGAGGAAAGUGGAAUUCCUGGUGUAGAGGUGAAAUUCGUAGAUAUCAGGGGGAACACCGGUGGCGAAGGCGACUUUCUGGCCCGAUACUGACGCUCAGGCGCGAAAGCGUGGGGAGCAAACAG